AAUUAAUUUCAGUUCAUCUGUAGGCUAAUUCUUAAGACUAAAAUGCUACAUUUCUGAAUAAUAUCUGAGUUUGGAAGGUACACUUUAUUAAGGUUAAUUGCAGCCCGAAACAAGAUGAUGUUGUUAGCACAGGUCAAGAAUAUUAUGGCUGUUCAUUCUACUCAUGCCAAAGUUACAGAAACUAUAUUUGGACCUGCUUUUGACCCGCAAUAUUACUAAAGCCUCCAUGGAAUGCAUAGUCCUGUGAAAACACGUGUGCAAUGCUGAUGUAAUUGGAUUGUUGUGGAACAAGUAUUCACGUUUAGUACGUAAGUAUUCAUUUCUUCAGUCAGAAGAUGUUUCUUAUAUAUGGCUAAAAUGCAGUAAACUUGUAUUCCAGAGAGACUUAUCUGCAGUGUUCAACAGUGUAAGUCAAGAUGAUACUUCGAGUUUAAUUCCAGUCUCUCCUGAUACAGAAAAGAAGGAGGAGAUGACAGAGUGUCUUCGUCAGUUGUCUGGAUACAGUUCAUUGUUAUCCACAGACUCAUCUCCCAAAGCCAUGAUAAUUAAUUCUCAUGAUCUGACAGAGAUUUCAAAGGAGACAACAAGACAAAGAAUGGAAAGGAUAAGUAAAAUAAUUGAAGAAACCUCAGAAUUGUUGAAAACCUCAAGUAACACCUCUGAAAAGGCCUGAAAGAACAGCUCUUCAGGCCUGUUCUCUGUAGAUGCAUGGAUAUAAAAAUUAAUAUGUAUGUUUGUACAACAUUAAAUUUUUAAUAUAUCAAA
Molecule: non-coding RNA, 765 nt
Organism: Meleagris gallopavo (turkey)
Lineage: Eukaryota; Metazoa; Chordata; Aves; Galliformes; Phasianidae
Source: RefSeq, a predicted model, not a curated record